This 146-nucleotide ribosomal RNA is filed under the name Cyrtandra baileyi. RNAcentral describes it as "5.8S ribosomal RNA". It matches the Rfam family "5.8S ribosomal RNA". From Rfam's summary of the family: 5.8S ribosomal RNA (5.8S rRNA) is a component of the large subunit of the eukaryotic ribosome. It is transcribed by RNA polymerase I as part of the 45S precursor that also contains 18S and 28S rRNA. Functionally, it is thought that 5.8S rRNA may be involved in ribosome translocation. Lineage: Eukaryota; Viridiplantae; Streptophyta; Magnoliopsida; Lamiales; Gesneriaceae. The record is from RNAcentral.
GACGACUCUCGGCAACGGAUAUCUCGGCUCUCGCAUCGAUGAAGAACGUAGCGAAAUGCGAUACAUGGUGUGAAUUGCAGAAUCCCGUGAACCAUCGAGUCUUUGAACGCAAGUUGCGCCCAAAGCCAUCAGGUCGAGGGCACGUC